UCGGGGCGAGGCGUGAUGAUGGGGGCCUUACGGCCCGAAUCCGGUGAUCCGUGGUGCCGAGAAAAGCUUCGGCGUCAGGCGCGUUGCCGCCCGUACCCCAAACCGACACUGGUGGUCAGGUAGAGAAUACCAAAGCGAUCGAGCGAAUCCUGGUCAAGGAACUCGGCAAAUUGCUCCCGUGCCUUCGGCAUAAGGGAGACCCCCUGCGGUGAUGAGCGGCGGGGGGUGGCACAGGCCAGGGGGUAGCGACUGUUUACCAAAAACACAGGAGCGUGCGAAGGCGCAAGCCGCUGUAUACGCUCUGACGCCUGCCCGGUGCCGGAAGGUUAAGAGGAUCCGUCAGCUUUCUGCGAAGCGGUGAAUUCAAGCCCCGGUAAACGGCGGUGGUAACAAUAACCAUCCUAAGGUAGCGAAAUUCCUUGUCGGGUAAGUUCCGACCUGCACGAAUGGCGUAACGACUUCCCCACUGUCUCAACCAGGAGCUCGGCGAAAUUGCAGUACGAGUAAAGAUGCUCGUUAAGCGCAGAAGGACGAAAAGACCCCGGGACCUUUACUAUACCUUGGUAUUGGCAUUAGGCGCGGAUUGUGUAGCAUAGGCGGGAGGCUUCGAGGCGGGUGCGCCAGCAUCCGCGGAGCCGCAAGGUGAAAUACCGCUCUGUUCUCGUUUGGUGUCUAACCUCGAACAGUCAUCCUGUUCAGGGACAGUGCCUGGCGGGUAGUUCAACUGGGGCGGUUGCCUCCCAAAGAGUAACGGAGGCGCUCAAAGGUCCGCUCGGCCCGGUUGGCAAUCGGGUGUCGAGUGUAAUCGCACAAGCGGGCUUGACUGCGAGAUCGACGGAUCGAGCAGGGACGAAAGUCGGAGAUAGUGAUCCGGUGCCGGCGCACGGGCGCGGCAUCGCUCAACGGAUAAAAGGUACCCCGGGGAUAACAGGCUUAUCAUUCCCAAGAGUCCAUAUCGACGGGAUGGUUUGGCACCUCGAUGUCGGCUCGUCGCAUCCUGGGGCUGGAGCAGGUCCCAAGGGUUCGGCUGUUCGCCGAUCAAAGCGGCACGCGAGCUGGGUUCAGAACGUCGUGAGACAGUUUGGUCUCUAUCCUCUGCGCUCGUUGGAAUCUUGAGGAGGCCUGCCCAUAGUACGAGAGGACCUGGGUGGACGAAUCUCUGGUAUGCCGGUCGUCACGCCAGUGGCGCGGCCGGUUGGCUACGUUCGGAAGGGAUAACCGCUGAAAGCAUCUAAGCGGGAAGCCUUCUCCAAGAUAAGGAUUCCAUGCGGCCCCGAGCCGCUGAAGACCCCAUGCAGAACACGUGGUCGAUAGGCCGGACGUGGAAGCCCCGCGAGGGGUGGAGCCGACCGGUACUAAUGGUCGAGAGGCU
RNAcentral lists this ribosomal RNA (1372 nucleotides) under metagenome. Its description in RNAcentral is "bacterial LSU rRNA". It matches the Rfam family "Bacterial large subunit ribosomal RNA", at positions 1551 to 2925 of the family's 2925-position model. The record is from RNAcentral.